This 422-nucleotide ribosomal RNA is filed under the name uncultured bacterium. RNAcentral's name for it is "bacterial SSU rRNA". It matches the Rfam family "Bacterial small subunit ribosomal RNA", at positions 355 to 774 of the family's 1533-position model. The record is from RNAcentral.
UGAGGAAUAUUGGUCAAUGGGCGAGAGCCUGAACCAGCCAAGUAGCGUGAAGGAUGAAGGCUCUAUGGGUCGUAAACUUCUUUUAUAUGGGAAUAAAGUUUUCCACGUGUGGAAUUUUGUAUGUACCAUAUGAAUAAGGAUCGGCUAACUCCGUGCCAGCAGCCGCGGUAAUACGGAGGAUCCGAGCGUUAUCCGGAUUUAUUGGGUUUAAAGGGAGCGUAGGUGGAUUGUUAAGUCAGUUGUGAAAGUUUGCGGCUCAACCGUAAAAUUGCAGUUGAAACUGGGAGUCUUGAGUACAGUAGAGGUGGGCGGAAUUCGUGGUGUAGCGGUGAAAUGCUUAGAUAUCACGAAGAACUCCGAUUGCGAAGGCAGCUCACUAGACUGUUACUGACACUGAUGCUCGAAAGUGUGGGUAUCAAACA